UUACUCCGAGUGUGACUUUAAUCAGAUUAAGGUCAUCGAGAAUCUCCGUUUACAUGCUAGUGUCGUAAUCAGAGUAUCGUCUUAAUCGGGUUCGUAUGGGAUUAUCGUCGUCCGUGUGAACGCACUGAGUGAAACCGUGGAACAUUUUAGUGUGUUGGUGAUGUAGUAAAAAUUCCAUACACUACCAUUAUACACUUUUUAAACUCUGUGUUGUUUUCACUGUUAAAUGUUAAAAUACAUUAAAAAAAAAAAAAAAAAAAUUCCCGAACAUGAAUUCCUGAAUUUUGUAUUCUUAGACCUAGAAUUAUUUUUAUUUAUUGAAUUUUUAAAUUUUUAAACGGCUUGACAUUAUUGACAGGAAUUAUUUUAGAAAAUUUCGUAUUUAUAGUUUUUGCACAUUCUGUAAAUAUGACAAGGUUUAAUUAAUUAAAUUAAGAUUUAAUUUGCCUUCUAAAAGUCCCUUUUCCCUAGAAACAAAUACAUUUUUUUGUCCCAUUUUUGCCGAAUAAUAAUCUAUGCGUUAUAACACAUCAGCUGCCUGGUUAUGUGCAUACUUAAUAAUUAUAUUUAUCAAUCACGCGAGUGUUUUAUACGCUUUUCUUUAAGCGUUUUAUUUCUACUUUCUCUUUAAAAGCACGAACAGAGCGGAAGCUUAGCAUGGGAGAAUACUAACGACAGCUCGAACCUAAAAUUCUGUCCGAUAUUGUCCGAGUGAAUAUUUAAAAUCAGGAUCCUGCGUGAGAAAUGCUCGCAUAAAAAUUAAACCCGGAUUUAAAAAAAAAAGUUUGAAUUUGUUUUCACGUUUGACAUCCAGGGCGGAGCUUAAGAUACAUUUAAUCAGAUCAUUAAUCACGUAUUUAAUGGACAGUUAAGGGUUCUACAUUACGGGUUCUACGUUUUUUUAUACGGUUCUACGGAGUGACAAAUGAAAGAAGGAACACCGGUGGUGAUGUCACACGAUUAGGCUUGUGAUUGGUUGCAACUCGAGCGUGCAAAUUAAGCUCCGCCCCCGAUGAAGCCUGUCACGCUGUGAAAUCAGGCUGUGCUCCACUAACACGUUUUAAAUUCCUAUCUCUGAUGUUAAAAGCUCAGCUGGAUGAGUGUGAGAGAGAGACAGAGAGAGAGAGAGAGAGAGAGAGAGUGUGUGUGUGUGUGUGUGUGUGUGUGUGUGUGUACUGGAAUGAACGGAGGCAGAAAGUCUGGCAGCGUCUCUGAUUGAUACAACAACAUUACUGUAACUACAGCGGGGUCCAAAAGUCUGAGUCCACUACCAGGAACUGGUUUUUAUUCCAUCAGGUAUCAAACACUCAGAUCAGAUUUUACUCCUCGGAUCCUCAUCGCUUCAACAUUCCAACAUCCUCCUCCUCCUCACACACACACACACACACACACACACACACACACUGAAGAUCGUUAUAUCUAACAGCUGCGGAGAUGUUUAUGUGAAAGCGCUCGUUCUGACAUGUUACGGUUUCUAUAGUAACGGCUCACUCACGGGGACGUGAAAAAUCGAUAUGGAAGCUACGUUUUCUUGCAAUAAGGAGAUGAUUAUUUAACUUUUAAGGAAGGAGUCUCCGGUGUCAGAGGUAACACUGUAACGUCUGCAAAAUCUUCAGGACAGAGGUUUACGUUUACGCUUCUACAAGGGUUUCUCGGCGACAAAAGUUGUUUUUUUUUUGCGUCUCAUUAGCUUCAAGCGUGAGAACAGAGAGAGGGACGGUGAGGGAACGACUAUACAUGAUACUAUAUACGUUAUAGCUGUUAUAACAUAAGUGAGAACAGGAACUGACUUGUUAAAUGGACAGAAAGUAUGACGUUCUUUAAUAAAAAAAUUUUUUAAAAAGUAAUCGUUGAAAAAUCUUUGCUAAAACAUUUCGGGACGGUAACCGUUACUCUGCUGCAUCACUGAUUAUUUUAAUGUAUAACACCAUCAGCCCGCUUCAGUUAAGUUCCCUUUCUAGUACCUCCGAGUACCCUUUUUAAAUAAUUAAAAAAAAACAAAAAAACAGAUUGUGUGGCGUGUCAUUUCCUUUCCCACGUGUGCGGGAGGUAUCUUCCACAGACGGUGUGACCUGAAGAUAAGGAGAUCAGCGCUUAGCUCUGGUUCGACCCCUCGGUGCCUCAGUGUGUUAUGCGUUACAUCAUUUCCUCCCAACAGCCAACAGGACACGCCGUAGUGGACUGACAUCACCACGGCUGACUAAUCCCACUCGAAACACAAGUACUGUUACGUCCCAAAAACUGUCUACUGCGUUCACUGGCUAGCUAAAUCAGAUGGAAAUGUAGCUAGCAUGACUACAAUUAUUACGCAGCUAGAGUAGAUAAAGUUUGUAGCUUGUUUUCUUUGAAGUUUACCGCUAAAGUAAAUAUAGAAUACAGAGAUCAAUUUGAGUCUGUAGCUAUUAACUUAAAGGAGGACAAUGUUUUAACGUGGAUAUUUUUAGCUAGCUAACCAUGCAUGCUAACAGAUUCAAAGUAACGCUGUGUUUGACUAGCGAUUGGGACUCGUAAACGCGAAACCACACCCCUCUACUCAAUUCCUACUCAAGAACGUCUCUCAAACCGGCGUCAAAACAAAAUGACCGCUCACAGCGUAAACAGGUAACACAGCAGCACUUCUUUACUGUCAAAUGAGUUAUAUAUAUGUGUAUAUACGGUGUGUAUAUAUAUACACACACCGUAUAUACACAUAUAGACUUCAGAUCAAUCAACAUACAGAUAUAUUCUCUCGCUCACUCUGGAACCCCGACUCUACCGUUACAGGUACAUAUAACAUCACUCAUCACAGUUAGCUGGCUAGCGUUCGGCUAACAAACGGCGUCCGUGUUUUUCCCCCCAUUUUAAAGCCCGAACGUUAAAUCACGGAGGUUUUAAACGGCGUCACGGCUUCCCGCUUCUGAGGGAAGUCGAACGCCGCGUGGGGUAGCUAGCCAGAGCUAACAGCGGCCGUUCGGAUCGGGGCGUUUUCUUAAUUUUGCGAGUGAAAAUGAAGAGCCGUCUUAAUUAUUAAAAAAAUACGAAUGAAUCCGUCUAAAUGACUCAAAUUCGGCUGAAAACUAGCCGUCCUAAAAAAAACCCCACAUGACUGAAUUAAUAUUAAUAGUAAAAGAGUGGCGCGUUUUAAAAAGAUUUAAAAAAAACAAACAAAACCCGCGAGUCCUUCUUCAAUCUUAUAACACCAGAUAAACGAGUUAGCAUGAAGCCGAAACUUCGAAACUUCCACGUUUCUCCUCACCACGGGCCGAGUUUCUGAAGCUGACGUGAUUCGAUAUGAUUAACUCGAGGGAAUAAACGCUCACGAUCACCGUCGAUGGACACGAACGUGAAGUGAAAAAUCAAGAGAACCCCGCUGAAACAAAACAAACAAACCCCAAACAAUAGAAACCAUCACAGAAAUCGGUUGGAUGAUGGUUUCCACUAUAAACACCAUUAAAACCAUAAACAAACGUAGUCUGUUUUGGUCCGAAUUCUAUUAGCAUUUAACAGUUUGUAUUGGUUUCCAUUAGACAUGCUAUAAACAUGCCACCUAUAGAACCCAACACCUUACCAGAACCAUUAAAACCAAUACAAUUCCCAUUAUAGCCAUUAGAACUUCUGUAAUGGUUUCUACUGACAGUGGCGCCCCAGACGAGAGAGCUACCAGACUAUUUUGCGAUUCCUGAGACGCGGAAUGUUUUGCGGAAUAUAUCUCAGGAUCGAACUGUUUUAGGUCGAAACUUUCCCUCCAAAGACCCCACACACUCCGUUUCACAUAAAUCAGUGUGUUUGAACAGAGUCGUGUUUGGCGUCAGGCCUGUACAUGCUUCCAAAACACACACACACACACACAUAUACACACACACACGCGUUCUCAUCAGGACAUUUCUCAUUAUUUCUCAUUAUUUCUCGUUACUGUAGUGAGCGCGCGCUGCCAAGUAGCUGUAAGUGUUGAUUUAUUGGCGUAAACAGCAGCGCUGUGUAUAAAGACCUGAAAAAGUGGCGCUUCCUCUUCCCGCUACACGGAGGCGAUCCGCCGGGACGCGAUCGGUGUGUGAGGUUUGCUUUGUUAUUUCUCAUUUCUGCGCUAGAACGCCACACUUAUUGCACUUUUGGCUGAACUGUUCGCUGAUUCGUUUAUUAGAGAUAUCCGCUGGGGAUUCGUUUGGCUCUGUGAUGUCUGUAAUAAUAUUUUCACCUACGUGAAGUAAACGCAGGACGACAGACGUUUCCGUGACGAUAACGCCGUCGCAUCGUGCCUUAGACACGUUCGUGGAUUGGAUACGGAUGAUAUUACUGAUCGUUUACGCGCGUCAAUAACACACGAAGUGGAUGAUUCGUGUACAACCGGACGCUCUGGAGCGAGUCAUUCCUCGUAACCACGGCGACGGGCCGAGGAUGACGACGUUUCCGUUAUUAAGGGAGGACACACGGAGCGUCGAGUUAAGAGUUAAUGUGGGAGAGGCGAGUUACUUCCUGUUGUCACUUACGUUAUAGCAGCGACACUAAACAGUCGUUCCUUCAUCGUCCUCUUUUCCCUUUCUCUCGACGUUAAUAAACACGAGAACAAAACACCAAACUAGAUCUCUCGUUACAGAGAAACCGCGAAAACCAGCGUAGACGCGUCUGUCCCGUCUUUCUCUCUCUCUGUCUCUCUCACUCGCUCUCUUUCUCACUCACUCACUCACUGUCUGUCAUGUGUCUCCUGCUGUUCUCUCUCUCCUUCUCUCUCUCUCACUCUCUCUCUCUCCCCUU
Molecule: long non-coding RNA, 4731 nt
Organism: Ictalurus punctatus (channel catfish)
Lineage: Eukaryota; Metazoa; Chordata; Actinopteri; Siluriformes; Ictaluridae
Source: Ensembl